This 493-nucleotide ribosomal RNA is filed under the name uncultured bacterium. RNAcentral's name for it is "bacterial SSU rRNA". It matches the Rfam family "Bacterial small subunit ribosomal RNA", at positions 28 to 507 of the family's 1533-position model. The record is from RNAcentral.
GAUGAACGCUAGCUACAGGCUUAACACAUGCAAGUCGAGGGGAAACGAUAUUGGAAGCUUGCUUCCGAUAGGCGUCGACCGGCGCACGGGUGAGUAACGCGUAUCCAACCUGCCCACCACUUGGGGAUAAUCUUGCGAAAGUAAGACUAAUACCCGAUGAUAUCCCUAGAAGACAUCUGAAAGGGAUUAAAGAUUUAUCGGUGAUGGAUGGGGAUGCGUCUGAUUAGCUUGUUGGCGGGGUAACGGCCCACCAAGGCAACGAUCAGUAGGGGUUCUGAGAGGAAGGUCCCCCCACAUUGGAACUGAGACACGGUCCAAACUCCUACGGGAGGCAGCAGUGAGGAAUAUUGGUCAAUGGACGUAAGUCUGAACCAGCCAAGUAGCGUGCAGGAUGACGGCCCUAUGGGUUGUAAACUGCUUUUAUGCGGGGAUAAAGUGAGGGACGUGUCCCUUUUUGCAGGUACCGCAUGAAUAAGGACCGGNUAAUUCCGUG